CUUCAGGGCCGGCGGUUCAGCGCUUCAGCUGCCUCACGCUCACCGUAGCAGAAGGUGUUCUGGAGGGAAAACGCACGCACAGUGUGCGCGCGCGUGUGUGUGCUGCACGUGUAGCUGCUCAACAGACCUCUCAGGUUGAAGGUUUGAUAGACCGAUGGCUGAGUGAGGCUGACUUCAGAGCACCGCACGAUAUGUUCUGUUGUGGAUGAUUGGAGCAAGCAGCAUCCCAGCUUUGUCCUUGGGCAAUUUCUGGAGGUAACGUUUCUCCUCUGAUUACACGAGAGACGGGGGCAUUUCAAUGUUCUAUUUUUAGCUCAGAAAAAAGAACUCGAAAAGCUGUUUGCCACAGCUGGAGCAGGAAUUUGAUAUGAUUUUUUUUCCAUUUGCUCAGUGAUAUUUAGGCCAUUUCUCCAAAAGUAGGAUUUCUUUUUGCGAUACAUUGACACAUUCUUGCGUCGCGUAGACAUGUAACUGCUGUAACCGUCAGAAAGAAUCCAUAGCAAGAGUGGAAUAUAGAUUUUUCUGCAACUAUUGACCAUCUUUAAAUAUAAGAUGGAUGGCAGGCGUGGAGAAUACAAUACACACUGAAAAUGUGUACACUUUGUGCUUCUUUGUCCGCCUGACAAAGCUGCGUUCUCAGUAGAAUGCAGUGAAUUUCGACAGCCUGCCUCGGUGCUCAAUACUGAAAUCCAUCAGCGGGCACCAAACAGUGUGUUUUAUUUCUCUGUGUCCAGCACAAUAUCAGCACUCAUCAUCCAGCCCUGACAGAGGGGCAACCAGUUAAAGCCAGGAGUGUUAGCACCAACAUGCUAUCUGGCAUCUGCCAUCUCUGGUGAGUCUGUCAACACGACAAAGACAGGCUCUGCUCCGAGUCAAAGGGAAAGCUGCGUCAUCACCGUGCACCAUGAACAAUAUGUACUGAAAACGAUGUGUAUAGAGCUCAAAUGGAAUAGAAAUGUCUUUUCCAAAAGCAAAAACCCUCAUUGUAAAUGUAGCUGAUGUCUAUGUCUUCACUGAUUCAGAUGACUGCAGUGGAACAGAGACUUUCUCUACAGUGUGUUUUUACCAUAGAUUCACAUCUUCAGAGAAGUUCAGUAGUUUCCAUUUCACACUUUUUUGAGGGUGAUGGUGAUGGUUAAAGUGUCUUACAGCCAGUUCUGUAGUUGGUGGUGAUUUAUCCCAGAAAUCUUCGUAUUUCUGCUUAAUUUUCUUCAAAGGAAAAUAUGAAAGAAACACUACAGGAGAAGUUUUACUGAGUUACAGAAGCUUUGGACACAGAGGCUAGCCCAGAUGUGAUGUCAUGACUUUAGCUCUGUCACAUGAAGUAUUUGAUUAUUAGUUGAUUAUAGUUUGAACUAUAAGAUUUUUUUUCCAUUAAAAUUACAGUUUGUGAGUAGAUGUGAGGUAGUUUGUGUUGUGGCUCUGCACCUAGAAUUCACUUCAAUUUGAGCAAUCGCUUCCCUAUUGGGAUACCCAAAGACAGUAUACAUAUGCGUAGAUAAAUGGGCUGCUUUUAAAAGCUGUAAUGUAAAGAAAUGCUGAAAGUAAGCAACACAGAAAAACAUCUCACAAGUGAAGAGUUACCUGAUGGUAUUUAACUUUACCCAACAUAUCGGGGGAAGGAAUCAUUCAUGUGAGUUCACAUAAAGUGACCAUCGAUUAAAGUUGCGUAGAAAAUGUAUCUUGAUAAAAUGUUUGUUUUCGGUGUAUCAGUGAUCAAUAGUUACAAAAAUUUAAUACAUUUUAAUGACCCUUUUUAGGGAAAGAUCAGCCGAUAAAGGGUUGAUUCAGAAUUUCCUUCCUUUGAACACAAAUGUAUAUUUUAAAUACAAAUAGAUAAAAAUAAAUAUACAAAUACAUAAAAAAAAUUAGGACAGAAAAACAACCUCAUCUUGAUAUACAUUAGAUAUUAAAAGCAACCAAAUUAAGUUGAAGGUAAACUAACCAAAGAUUAAUGAGAUACAAUAGAAAGAAAUGUUCAAGAAACUCUUGAAUUUAGUAAAAAUAAAAAUUGUCACAAAAUGCAAUGUAUCAAAAUGACAUUUGUACUGCUGGGUGCACAGAGGUGCAUGGAGGGUGAAGCUACAGCAUCACCACAAGGUUAAGACUCUGAGUGGCAGACGAGGAAGUGGUUUUCGACUGUGAAGGCUCGUCUCACAAGGACAACUGUGAGUCCCUUUCAGUCACAGCCUCUAUCAGGGGAGGUCUGAUGACGAAGGCAACAAAGAGGCAGCCGACUAGUGUCCCUCAGGAGACCAGCAUGGAAGCCACAGGAAGAGUGAAGGAGAGUCACACACUUUAUUAUCGAGAAUGUAGAAGAGCCAGGAGGGGAACAGGCUUCGUUUUUGUUACGAUUUAGUUUCAUGCUGGUUUGCAUCCAAUGCAUUCUAUUGAACAUUUUACCAAAAAUUUUUUUUUUUAUUGCUGUUAAAGACAGGUCUAUUAUCUGCACAUAUUGCUAUUGUUUAAUGGCCCAGACUACCACUGACACUCACAGAUUUAUACAGUGAAUGCAUAUACUAGUGCAUGUAAAAAAUAAAAAGAACAUUAUGAAAAAGUUUCAUAUUCUCCAUCAGUUAUUUAGGAAAGCAUACAUUUAUUGUAUCCUAGACUCAUACGUAAAGGUAAAUAUUUCAAAUUCAAAGAGAUACUGGAUGUCACAUUUUCAUGAGCUGUUGGCCAUAAUUGUCUAAAGGCUUUCAACUUGUUUUGAUAAUUCUUAACUCUUCUUCCUUUGCUUUUUAUUAUUAUUAUUAUCUUGUCAGGAAGCCGUCCCAGCUCCUGGCUGGUUUUUGUUCUUGCCUCUGUCAGGAUGCUGUUCCAGCUCCUGCCCAGUUUUUGUCCCUGUCUCCCUCUCUCUCUCCCAGCUGAUCGCCCGCUGCAGGACAGCUAAUUGUGGCAUGAGACUCAGCUGAGGGGUAAUCAGCCAACACUAUUCACCUGCCUUCCCCUUCUGUUUAAAAAACCCUUUGCUCCCCUCAUUGUGUGUGGGAGCAUCACAGUUUUUGACACUCCACAUGCCGUUCUCAACUACUACCCUCUGGAUUACAGCUGUUUCUGGACUUUUCUGCUUCCCCCCCUGUUUGGACUUUCAAACCUUGGACUCGGUGGAUUUUUGUUAUUGGAUUUAUGCUGGCCUGUUUGUUCCCUCAAUUGUUGCUUUUGUUUUUUCUGUGAGUACCAUUCAUUAGCUCUGUGUUUCUGUUUUUUUUUUUCGUAUCGUGUAGUUUGGUUUUUGCGCUGCCCCCACAGUCCUGUCCUUAGUUUGUAAUUGUUUUGAUUCAAUAAAACCCCAUUACACCUGU
Long non-coding RNA from Acanthochromis polyacanthus (spiny chromis), 3305 nucleotides. RefSeq lists it as uncharacterized. The transcript is spliced from 2 exons. The record is from RefSeq and is a predicted model, not a curated record. Lineage: Eukaryota; Metazoa; Chordata; Actinopteri; Pomacentridae.